GAUGAACGCUGGCGGCGUGCCUAAUACAUGCAAGUCGAGCGAACAGACGAGGAGCUUGCUCCUCUGACGUUAGCGGCGGACGGGUGAGUAACACGUGGAUAACCUACCUAUAAGACUGGGAUAACUUCGGGAAACCGGAGCUAAUACCGGAUAAUAUAUUGAACCGCAUGGUUCAAUAGUGAAAGACGGUUUUGCUGUCACUUAUAGCUGGAUCCGCGCCGCAUUAGCUAGUUGGUAAGAUAACGGCUUACCAAGGCAACGAUGCGUAGCCGACCUGAGAGGGUGAUCGGCCACACUGGAACUGAGACACGGUCCAGACUCCUACGGGAGGCAGCAGUAGGGAAUCUUCCGCAAUGGGCGAAAGCCUGACGGAGCAACGCCGCGUGAGUGAUGAAGGUCUUCGGAUCGUAAAACUCUGUUAUUAGGGAAGAACAAAUGUGUAAGUAACUAUGCACGUCUUGACGGUACCUAAUCAGAAAGCCACGGCUAACUACGUG
RNAcentral lists this ribosomal RNA (497 nucleotides) under uncultured bacterium. RNAcentral describes it as "partial 16S ribosomal RNA". It matches the Rfam family "Bacterial small subunit ribosomal RNA", at positions 28 to 507 of the family's 1533-position model. The record is from RNAcentral.